GCUCGCUCGAGCUCGGCGCGGACCCGCCCGGGAGCGCUCCUCGCAGCAGCUGCCGGGGUCCCACCGCCCUACCGGGCGCGGGCGAUCAGACUACCUCGGAGGGCGCGCUCAGACACCCAGACGUCCGGCCACCUCAGUGGGUACACUCGGCACCCUGUGAUCCGACCACCCGCGGAGGCGCGCUAGCCCUCUGGGUGGGCGUGCUGGGCUUCUCUGCGGCGGAAGUCUGGACCACAGAUUGUGACUUCUUUUCUAGCAGUAGGUGUUGACUGGUCCGACUGCCGCCCUUCUGCCCGAGAGUAGUUCAAACUGAAGGGAAGAAAACAUUUGUGCUGCUUGGUCUGCCAUCUUAAACCAGAAGUCUGAAAUAUGGGUCUGAAUGCUGCUUCCAAGGAUCUCUUACAUUGAGGAUAGCAGGCACCAGAGACUCUCUACCAUAAACAUUUCCACAAGAAACGGUCUCUAAUUGAACCUGGAACUCACUGACUGAGCUAGAGUUGCUGUUGAGAAAGCCCCAGGAACUGUUUGGUCUUCUACCCCUCAAAAUUUGCGAUGCAGUGCCUCCUCAGGCCCAUCAAAGUCUUCCAGGAUCACACAGAAGACCACGCCACAGUCGGAAGUGAGGUAAACAAGUCUCCUCAUUGCUAUAUUUUGUAAUUAUCAGACAAGAACUCUUCAGGCGGAGUUCCCGCCUGAAGACCCUCAGGCCUGUGUGAAGCUUAACCAUGUAUGUACUCAAUGUAGGUGUGAUCGGUUUUCAGAUCCAUGCAAAUGUGAGCUGACCUUCCCCUGAUGUUUGCUGAGUGCAUGCCAACAGCAUUCUGCAUGGCUAACCUGCCUCAGCAACCAAAUCCCUGGAGCUGUCAUAUGCAGAGGGUCUGUGGUGUGGCCAUUUUAUAAAUGAGCCACGGGAAGGCCAGAGAAAGAAACAGCAUGCUCCAAGUCAGAGCAGAAGGCAGCUUCCCUAGGAUCUGUUUUAAUGUUUGCUUCUUUACAACACAGGAUCUCAUGAAACCCAAGCUAGCUUCAGACUCAACUGCAUAGCUGAGGAUACCCUUGAACUUGAUUUUCUAAUAUUUCUACCUCACACCCAGUUCAUGAGGUAAUGCAGAUAGAACCCAGGGCUUCCUGAAUACUAGGAAGGCACUCUACCAACUGAGCUACAUCCCCAGACCCUCCUCUGGGGAUAAGCCCAGGUUCAAAUCCAAGGCCUUAACAACACUGGGACACAGACUUAAGACACAGCACUCUACGGGACCUGGGCAUGCUCCUACCCUGUCUAGUGAUGGCAAAAGCCAUCUUUUUAACAGCCCACGUUAUGAUUCUACCAUCAGAUCAGAGAGGCCGUAGAUAGCCCAGCUUCCCAUUGUAAGUCAUUUUCGACCUGUUUAACCGAUGGCUAUAUGGGACUGCUAGAAAAAGUUUGGAAAUCACCAAGAGCUUUGACUUUCCUGCCCACAAAAACAGUUGGCCUUGGCAGAUGUCCAACGCGUUGACCUUAGAUCCAUUUAAUGAAAACCCUAUUAAUUCAAAAAGAAAGAAAGAAAAUAAGACAAAAUAGGACAGGCAGUAGAAAGAUCUUUACAAAAAUCUUGUGUGCCCUUCCUCCACUGUUGCCUUGACCAGACAGGGCCACAAAGCUAAUACAACAGGAUUAGGACAAUUGCUUUGUUAACACACAAGCACAGCGUGACAUGAACUCCAGAAAAGGCAUUUGGCAGGAUUAACCUGCUGAGGAUAAAGAUGUAGCAGACGGGACCUGAAUUAAUGGACUGGUAUGGCCAAAGUGGAGAAAUCUAUUUGCAUGUAAUAUUAACUGUACUAAUAAACUCCAGGCUGGGAUCCAACAGCCUGGGAGCCUCUUUGAACCAGGACUUGAUUCCUGCACAUCCUAUCUCUGACAUCUGCCAAGAUGUGUGAGUGUAAUCCGGCUGCCUGCAGAUUACCACUCUGUCCUUGGUGCCUGCAAUAGCACAGACCCUUUACUGACUCCAUCUCAAGCAGAUCCCACUUACAAUAUUAUUUACAACCCAUGGAAAAGCAAUGAAGAAAUGCAGGUUCAACACAUGUAGAAAAUAUCCACCAGGGCCUGGAGAAAUGGCUCAGUAAUUAAGAGCCUUGGCUAUUCCUCCAGAGGACCCGGGUUCAAUUUGUAGCAUCCAUGAGGCAGCUAAGAGUCAUCUGAAGCCCAUCUGAAGCCCUCUUCUGACAUCUGCAGGCAUGGUGCAUACAUGGUACAUACAUACACAUGCAAAACACAUAAAAUAAAAAAUAUAAAAUUUAAGAAGAAAAUGCCUACCUGACCCAGGCUGUUGGCCUGACUUGUGUAUUCUGAUUCCUUGAAAGUCUGUGUGGGACUAGGGUGAGCAAGCAGACUCCUGGGAUGUGACAUUUCAGGAGGUACCACAGUCUGGCUCAGUCUCAGAACAAGGUGAGUGCCUAAAGAUUCAUGCAUUGCCCCUCAGACUGCCCUACUGCAGGUUACCAUAGGAACAGUGUAAUCUAUACCCAUUCAAAAUCAAUACACUUACAACAGACAGCUGGAUGUUGGGCGGUGUGGUGGAGGAGAAGAAUGUAGGUGGGUGGGGACCUCUGAGGGGUCCUAUAAAAUACAUCUCAGAUCAUUGCAAUCAAAGAGCAAGAGAGCCUGGUAUUUAUCUACCAGCUCUUUACUGUAUCUGGCUCAGAGAGUAAUUCCCCACCAUGCAGACUAAACAUUCUCCCCAAAGAAGCUAGGGAACCUAGAACAACAGCCUGUGUACAAGAAUGCCUAGGCCAUAUGGAGUGUAAAAAGGUGUGAGUCAGGGUGUGAGUGACACCCACUUAAAGUUCUUGUGUACUUCAACAAAGAACUGGACUAGGAACACUGAAUAAAGAUUG
This 2880-nucleotide long non-coding RNA is filed under the name Mus caroli (Ryukyu mouse). RNAcentral describes it as "lncRNA (MGP_CAROLIEiJ_G0006847.1)". The record is from RNAcentral. Lineage: Eukaryota; Metazoa; Chordata; Mammalia; Rodentia; Muridae.